GGAGGGUGCAAGCGUUAAUCGGAAUAACUGGGCGUAAAGCGCACGCAGGCGGUUAGAUAAGUCAGAUGUGAAAGCCCCGGGCUCAACCUGGGAACUGCAUUUGAAACUGUCGAACUAGAGUCUUGUAGAGGGGGGUAGAAUUCCAGGUGUAGCGGUGAAAUGCGUAGAGAUCUGGAGGAAUACCGGUGGCGAAGGCGGCCCCCUGGACAGAGACUGACGCUCAGGUGCGAAAGCGUGGGGAGCAAAC
Molecule: ribosomal RNA, 247 nt
Filed under: uncultured Pseudaeromonas sp.
Lineage: Bacteria; Pseudomonadati; Pseudomonadota; Gammaproteobacteria; Aeromonadales; Aeromonadaceae
Description: partial 16S ribosomal RNA
Rfam family: Bacterial small subunit ribosomal RNA
Source: RNAcentral